RNAcentral lists this small RNA (648 nucleotides) under Acetivibrio thermocellus. RNAcentral also lists the same sequence under 2 other names. Lineage: Bacteria; Bacillati; Bacillota; Clostridia; Acetivibrionales; Acetivibrionaceae. The record is from RNAcentral.
AUGCUUGUAAGACAGGGUGGUGCAGUAUUCUAGUCAGUACUACCGGUUCUGAAGACGGGCCUAAAAAUCCGUUAAAGGGCACAUCGAUGAAGUUCCUUGUGCUGGCUUGCUACGCCCAGUGGUGGGCUGGUGCUGGGAGUUAAGGUUUAGGGGCAACCCGCAAUGGCAUGCGGGCAUUGACCCCUUUACCGUGGAGACCCGACCUUGUGGGAGUAAAGUACACUGCAAGCAUAAUAAUUUUGUCAGUGUGUAAACACUUCUACGAGCCGGGAGAGAACCUGUUUUGCGAUACCAUUUAUUGGUGUUGUGGACAGAGUAGCCUGCCUUGAGUGAGGUUGGCGGAUAAUGGUCAGGUGUAUAGGUAUUGGCCGAUACAUAUACACUAUAGCAGUUUGAAACCAAUCUUGCAAAAGAGGCUAGGAACCGGAUAGACUGUCGGGGAAAGCCCCUAGACUGUUCGUUAAGCGAGUUAUGCUGGGGAUUGAAGUGUGGACUAAGUGGUAAUCAGGCCCCGCUCCCUUUAAAGGGGCGGCUGAAGGUUUAAAGGGAAACCGCUGAAAUGGCGACAUUCAGUACCUUCUGUGGAAAUCAUGCCUGACCUAAGCCGCAAAAUUUACUCAGCAUAAUGCCACCCUGUAUUAUAGCGUU